Molecule: unclassified non-coding RNA, 237 nt
Filed under: Hevea brasiliensis (rubber tree)
Lineage: Eukaryota; Viridiplantae; Streptophyta; Magnoliopsida; Malpighiales; Euphorbiaceae
Source: RNAcentral
GAUUUGUAGAAGUAUUUCUUUCGAAAUGGAAGUCUCCUGUCAACCAAAAAUGAAAACUUUGGAGCCACCUCUCUUUAUCUUUAUUUGGAGAGCGUAGGUUAUUCUCAUAAAAUCUUAGAAUUCAUUUUGUCAUAUUAUCCAUAAAAUGGCCAAAGGAAUGGCAUUUAGAGUCUCUAAACUAGCGAAGGCCAAACAAUGAGGAGUUCUCAGCAACUCACCUACAUUUUUUUUUUUUUU